CCGAAGAAACGGAACAAACUUGACUCUAAAAAUUAGAAAGAUAUUGAAAUCGAAAGCCAUAUAAUAGUACUAGAGUAUUAGACAACACAAAUUAAACCAUAAGAAAAUCAAAAUGCUCAGUCUUAUUGUGGGAUUUUGCAUCUCCCCACUAUGAAAAUACAAACGAUCGUUAACAGCUUCAUAUUCAUCUUCUUUUUUAUGGUUUCUCAAUGAAAAGAUGAUGUCAAAACCACCUGUAAACAUAAAAGCACAUAUGUAAGUGAAUAAUAAAAACAAGAAAUUACAGAAAACAAUGAAAAAUAAAACAGAAAACAUGCAUAUAAAAGAUGAAUUAAUGAAAAAAAAAUGAAUCAAAAGACAUGCAAAUAGAAGAUGUUUCUAUUGAUUUGGAAUAGAUUAAAAAUUUCCAGAAAAACCGAAGAAGAAGAAAGAAAACUAACGAACAUGUGAUUGAUUUUGAUUCUUCUAAUUCUCAGAUAAAGCAUGAGACAGAGAGACAAAGAGAUUUAUGGUUCCAUUUUAUUAUUAUAAGAUUGAAUCAAAAAGCUUUGUUCUUUUGGGAUUAGGGUUAGUCGCCGAAAGGAAAACGAGAAUAGGAGAGAGAG
This 605-nucleotide long non-coding RNA is filed under the name Brassica napus (rape). Its description in RNAcentral is "long non-coding RNA (BNAP_LNC021136)". The record is from RNAcentral. Lineage: Eukaryota; Viridiplantae; Streptophyta; Magnoliopsida; Brassicales; Brassicaceae.